CUUAGGAUGAACGCUGGCGGCGUGCCUAACACAUGCAAGUCGAACGAAGCAUUUCGCCCGACAAAGAGGAGUGCUUGCACAAAUCGGAGUCAAUUGGAAUGACUUAGUGGCGGACGGGUGAGUAACGCGUGGGUAACCUGCCCUAUACAGGGGGAUAACAGUUAGAAAUGACUGCUAAUACCGCAUAAGCGCACAGUAUCGCAUGAUACAGUGUAGAAAAACUCCGGUGGUAUAGGAUCGGACCCGCGUCUGAUUAGCCAGUUGGCAGGGUAACGGCCUACCAAAGCGACGAUCAGUAGCCGGCCUGAGAGGGUGAACGGCCACAUUGGGACUGAGACACGGACCCAAACUCCGUACGGGAGGCAGCAGGUGGGGGAUAUUGCACAAUGGGGGAAACCCUGAUGCAGCGAACGCCGCGUGAGCGAUGAAGUAUUUCGGUAUGUAAAGCUCUAUCAGCAGGGAAGAAAAUGACGGUACCUGACUAAGAAGCUCCGGCUAAAUACGUGCCAGCAGCGGC
This 517-nucleotide ribosomal RNA is filed under the name uncultured bacterium. RNAcentral's name for it is "bacterial SSU rRNA". It matches the Rfam family "Bacterial small subunit ribosomal RNA", at positions 23 to 518 of the family's 1533-position model. The record is from RNAcentral.